UGCCAAACUCGUGCCAAAGACUGUGC
Molecule: non-coding RNA, 26 nt
Filed under: Homo sapiens (human)
Lineage: Eukaryota; Metazoa; Chordata; Mammalia; Primates; Hominidae
Also listed under: 1 other name
Source: RNAcentral